This 250-nucleotide ribosomal RNA is filed under the name uncultured prokaryote. Its description in RNAcentral is "partial 16S ribosomal RNA". It matches the Rfam family "Bacterial small subunit ribosomal RNA", at positions 524 to 774 of the family's 1533-position model. The record is from RNAcentral.
UACGGAAGGUCCGGGCGUUAUCCGGAUUUAUUGGGUUUAAAGGGAGCGUAGGCGGCCUUUUAAGUCAGCGGUUAAAUGUCAUGGCCCAACCUUGGCAUGCCGUUGAUACUGGAUGGCUUGAAUACACACAAGGGCUGUGGAAUUCGUCGUGUAGCGGUGAAAUGCUUAGAUAUGACGAAGAACUCCGAUUGCGAAGGCAGCGGCCUGGGGUGCGAUUGACGCUGAGGCUCGAAAGUGCGGGUAUCAAACA